UCUGGCCCCUCUUCUCGAUCUGGAGGAAAUCGUCGCCGCCGUCGCCAUGGGUUCGCCGCCCGCAUAGCCACCGAGCACCCCGCAGCAAUCCACCGCGUCCACCGACACCGCCGUCGACUCCCUUGUCAUCGGCAACAGCGUGUUGGAGUUGGGAGCCCCUGCAUCACCCUCGACGCCGCCCUCUUCUUCCUUGGGUCACCGGCAAAUCUCGGCGAUUCCGGCAAGCCUGCAGCUACUAAGCCGUCACCGGGCCCCCUUGCGCCUCCCCAGUGAGCUCCUCCUCUGAAUCCCCCUUACCCCGAUCUCGAUCCGUCGUCGUAGUCGCCUGUAUGAGCCGGUGGCCGCCAUGGCUGUAGUUCAACGUCCGCGUAUGUGCUCCUGCUGUUCCUUGUGAUGCUUCCGCUGCUGCCCCUGCUCUGCCUUGUUGCUUUGCUGCCUGCUGUCGCUACAGCCGGCCCGCCGGCGACCGCAUCCACUUCCGCUCGCCAAUGGCUACCCCCGCCGCUGCUCCCCCAUGCCGUCCACGCGCGCGCCACGCCCGGUCGGCCAUGCCCGAGUGCUGCUGCUACUGCUAUUUGUGCUCGUUACUGCUGCCUGCUGCUACCCAUGCCGCAACUGCUCUUCUCUACUGCUUCUCUGCUACUGCAGCUUUGCCGCUGCUGGCGCCGCCGCCGCUGCCGUGGCUGCGCCGCGUCUUGCUAUACUGCUUUGCUGCUGUUCCUAGCCGCUACCUCUGCUGCUCCAUGUUGCCUGCGCUAGCGCAUGCUCGCUGCGGUCCAUGCACCUCGUGUGCGUGCUGGCCAUGGUCGUGUGCCUGUGUGUGCACAACCAAGUGCAUGAUGGCCGUGGCAACACAGCCAUGGGCAUAGCCGGUUGUGCCACUGCCACAUGUGGCUGGCCGUUUAAUUAUUCUAAUUAGGUAUUAGUGGUAACUUUAGAUGCUAAUUAGAGUAUGUCUUGUGGGUCCCCUUGCUAAAUAAACCUUUUUAGCACUUUGGUUAAAAUAUCAGUCUAUAACAGGUGGACUCAGUCAACACCUUGACCAGUCAACACAUUGACCAGUCAACUGCUGAGUCAGCAGUCGACCAGGCCUACAUGUCAGCCUCUCCAUGCCACUACUGGGUACACUCUCUGUGUACCGGUAGCAAUUUAACAAUUUAUUUUCGAAUUAAUAAUAAUUUUAGAAUAUUGUUUAAAUCUUUGAAAAAUUGUAUAAAAUAAUCCGUAAUUCGGAUGGAAAAGUUUUAUACAUGAAAGUUGCUCAGAAAAGCAAGACUAAUCCGGAUACGCUCUCCAUUUGCUUGUCGCAUGCCUCUAGCAUAGCGAACAUGCAACCUUUCCCCUCUGUUUCAUCUGUCCAAAAAAUGCCUAACCCCGGGAAAAUUUCUCGGAUGUUAUCCCCCUUCGCCGGUAUCGUGUAGCACUGCGUUAGAGCACCCCUAGCGCUGCUUAUUGCAUGUCAAGCAUCUGUUUGCUCUGUAUUUACUAUUUCUCCCCCCUUUUCUCUUCGGUAGACCCCGUGAUGGCUGCCAAUGCCGCUGUGAUUGACUACGUCACCGACGACCCCUCCUUCUCGUCUGAGCAACCAGGCAAGCCCCCCCUUUGAUCAUCCUGAUAUCGCCCAUUUCCUUUCUCUCAUGCUUGCAUUAGAUUUUGCUACUGUAAUUGUUUGCUCCUAUUCUGAUGCAUAGCCUGCUUUUGUAACCUGCUUAUUGUUACCUACCUGCUUAUCCUAAACUGCUUAGUAUAGGUUGGUUAGUGAUCCAUCAGUGACCCCCACCAUGUCCUUUUUGCCCCUGCUUCAUCAUCAAAGACCCGAUCAACGGGAUCGAAGACCAGGUCCCGGCACCGCACAUCACUUUCCCCUUAGUUGCUCGACACUACUACGUUACUAUCGAGUGCCGAGGGUGAGACCUCAUCAGCACUUCUGAUGUUAGCCCUGUAGUGUAGCUAUUCGGUCGUGGUCAUCGAGGGUGAUUCUGCCUUAACCACUUCUGAUACGACUCUGUCGUGCAACCCCUCAAGUGUGAACCUCGAGGGUGGAUCCUCUUACAUUCACCUUGAUGAUUACAUCGAGUGGAAUCCAUCAAGGGUGAUUCCUAAGGUUUUCCCCUUGGUGUUAGACACACGGUUACUAUGGUUACUAUGACUUUACCCUGAACCAUGUUACUAAAGACGGGUCACCCCUGAGGGGUACCCGAGCGAGCAUAUUUGCGAGUGAUGAGGAGUCGGGUUGACCAGGAGGGUGCCCGCAAGAUAAUUACGAGGCGUGGCCGGGCAUUCUUAGCCCUGGCCGCAAGUCCUCGAGACAGGGCGACGGGGUCACAUCUUUCGUGAUUCUCUGCUUGUUACCGCGCGUUCCUAAUCCACUACGAUUUGGAUAUUUGAUCCGAGGGGCCUCUGGCCUGAUAGCACUAACCAUCAUGUGGGCAUAGUAUGGGCAUUCUGCGUUGUAUACAUCAGCCGAAGCUUAAUAGAUGUCAGCGACUGAGCGGCGUGCGCCGGGUUGGACUGCGUAAGCACCUGCCUUUUUGAAGGAGGUAGCUAGGUCUCCUCACCGGCCGCGUACGCAACGUGCAAGAGUUCUCGGGGCGAUGGACCAUGACCCCUCGGGGCAUAGGUUUAGUCCGGCGUGUUGACCUCUCUAUUAAGCCUAGGUCGGGUUGCGGCGUAUUGUUUGGUCGAGGCUGGGCAUGACCCAGGAAAGUGUGUCCGGCUGGAGUUAAUCGAGCGUGGUGGGUAAGUUGGUGCACCCCUGUAGGGAAGAAAACAUAUAUCGAUAGCCUAUCCUACGACAACGCAUACUCGGAGUUGUAUCCCGAUCGAUACAACUAGAACUGGAUACUUGAGGUGAUAACUGGAUAGUAUGGAUCUGGGAUUGCUUUCUCGCAGGGAGUCGAGAAAAGAUCUCUGGCCGAGGUUGUUAACACUAUUACUACUUUACUUUAUGCUACUCUUAUCUCUUCUGAUGCUGCAAGACGCUUGAAGAUACUAGUUUUCGAUAGGCUAGGCUUUUCCCCUUCUCUUCUGGCAUUCUGCAUUUCAGUCCACAUAUACUACCCAUUUCAUUGACACCGAUGCAUAUGUAGUGUAGAUCCUUGCUUGCGAGUACUUUGGAUGAGUACUCACGGUUGCUUUGCUCCCCCUUUCCCCCCCUUUUCCAUUCUUCUCGGAUGUCGCAACCAAAUGGUGGAGCCCAGGAUCCAGACGCCACCUUCGACGAUGACUGCUACUACACUGAGGGUCCCUACGUGGAGGCCGUUGAUGACCAGGAGUAGUUAGGAGGCUCCCAGGCAGGAGGCCUUGCCUUUUCGAUCGAUGUUGCUUUUGUGCUAGCUUUCUUAAGGCAGACUUGUCUAACCUAUGUCUGUACUUAGAUAUUGUUGCUUCCGCUGACUCUUGUGUAUUCGAGCUUAUGUAUUCGAGUCCUCGAGGCCCAUGGCUUGUAAUAUAAAGCUUGUAUUAUUUUAUUUGUGUCUAGAUUUGUGUUGUGAUAUCUUCCCGUGAGUCCUUGAUCUUGAUCGUACACAUUUGCGCGUUUGAUUAGUGUGCGAUUGAAUCGAGGGCGUCACAAAUGUCUUUCCUUCGGAUCUGUCAUAGAAGGUGUACCCAACAGUCUCCUUUGGGUAUCCUAUGAAGACACAUUUCUCCGAUUUGGGUUCGAGCUUAUCAG
This 3673-nucleotide long non-coding RNA is filed under the name Triticum aestivum (bread wheat). RNAcentral describes it as "long non-coding RNA (TAES_LNC017822)". Lineage: Eukaryota; Viridiplantae; Streptophyta; Magnoliopsida; Poales; Poaceae. The record is from RNAcentral.